RNAcentral lists this ribosomal RNA (274 nucleotides) under uncultured bacterium. RNAcentral's name for it is "partial 16S ribosomal RNA". It matches the Rfam family "Bacterial small subunit ribosomal RNA", at positions 523 to 796 of the family's 1533-position model. The record is from RNAcentral.
AUACGUAGGAGGCAAGCGUUGUUCGGAAUUACUGGGCUUAAAGAGCGUGUAGGCGGAAUACCAGGUGCUUUGUGAAAGCCCUCGGCUCAACCGAGGAAUUGCUCAGCAAACCGGUAUUCUUGAGGCGGGUAGAGGUGACUGGAACGACUGGUGGAGCGGUGAAAUGCGUAGAUAUCAGUUGGAACGCCGGAGGCGAAAGCGGGUCACUGGGCCUUGCCUGACGCUGAGACGCGAAAGCGUGGGUAGCAAACAGGAUUAGAAACCCCAGUAGUCC